Molecule: non-coding RNA, 135 nt
Organism: Triticum urartu
Lineage: Eukaryota; Viridiplantae; Streptophyta; Magnoliopsida; Poales; Poaceae
Source: Rfam
UCUCUACUCCCUUUGUUCUAAAUUACUUGACCCAUAUUUAUUUAGACACGGAUGUAUCUAAACACUAAAUAAGUAUAGAUACAUCCAUAUUUAGAUAAAUUCAAGUCAACUAAUUUAGAAUGAAGGGAGUAUAUG